Molecule: ribosomal RNA, 1128 nt
Filed under: uncultured Bacteroidota bacterium
Lineage: Bacteria; Pseudomonadati; Bacteroidota
Description: uncultured Bacteroidetes bacterium partial 16S ribosomal RNA
Rfam family: Bacterial small subunit ribosomal RNA
Source: RNAcentral
UAUGGUCAAUGAGCMACUCUGAACCASCCAUCCCCGUGCAGGAARCGGCCCUAUGGKUGUAAACUSYUUUGUACCAGAGAAAACCCGAGUACGUGUACUCGGUUGAUAGUACGGUAAGAAUAAGCAUCGGCUAACUUCGUGCCAGCAGCCGCGGUAAGACGAAGGAUGCAAGCGUUAUCCGGAUUCAUUGGGUUUAAAGGGUGCGUAGGCGGACCUGUAAGUCAGUGGUGAAAUCUCUCAGCUUAACUGAGAAACUGCCAUUGAUACUGCAGGUCUAGAGUAUAGAUGACGUUGGCGGAAUAUGACAUGUAGUGGUGAAAUACUUAGAUAUGUCAUAGAACACCGAUUGCGAAGGCAGCUAACGAAACUAUAACUGACGCUGAGGCACGAAAGUGCGGGGAUCAAACAGGAUUAGAUACUCUGGUAGUCCGCACCGUAAACGAUGAUUACUCGUUGUUGGCGAUAUGACAGUCAGCGACCAAGCGAAAGCGAUAAGUAAUCCACCUGGGGAGUACGCCGGCAACGGUGAAACUCAAAGGAAUUGACGGGGGCCCGCACAAGCGGAGGAGCAUGUGGUUUAAUUCGAUGAUACGCGAGGAACCUUACCUGGGCUUGAAAGUUAGCGACCGGUCCUGAAAGGGAUCUUCCAGCAAUGGCGCGAAACUAGGURGNRCAUGGCUGUCGUCAGCUCGUGCCGUGAGGUGUUGGGUUAAGUCCCGCAACGAGCGCAACCCCUAUUGUUAGUUACCAGCGAGUCAUGUCGGGAACUCUAACGAAACUGCCCGUGCAAACGGUGAGGAAGGUGGGGACGACGUCAAGUCAUCACGGCCCUUACGUCCAGGGCUACACACGUGCUACAAUGGCCGGUACAACGGGCAGCUACACCGCGAGGUGAUGCUAAUCUCUAAAAACCGGUCUCAGUUCGGAUUGAAGUCUGCAACUCGACUAMAUGAAGCUGGUUUCGCUAGUAAUAACGCAUCAGMAAUGKCACGGUGAAUACGUUCUMUCGGUUMUUGUGAUCACACCGCCCGUUGAACAAURWAAGUUGAGGGUAKURKUUAGUUUKCDDUUGUAGGUCGCCAUMUUKWUAGUCAUGGUAUGUGGUGUUAAGUCGUAACAAGGUAUCCA